This 28-nucleotide non-coding RNA is filed under the name Rattus norvegicus (Norway rat). Lineage: Eukaryota; Metazoa; Chordata; Mammalia; Rodentia; Muridae. The record is from RNAcentral.
UGCAAAUGGAAAUUUGCAGGAUUAGAAA